CAGAAUUCCACCUUCCUGCCUUACUUUGAACUCCUUUUUCUAGGGAUUACUGACAAAUCCACACGGGCUGAUCUCCAGAAAGACCGGUCAAAGUGUUGCCGUGAGAAGGGCUGGUGAUAUGAGCCACUCAGAACUUCACUAUGAAACGGAAAGCCAAAACUCAGUUUGCCCUUCCCAUGGUCUUUCCUCAGGCUCUACUUAGAGCUGAAGGUCACCAAGGACAUCAUCUUUAGAUGCAGAAUCCACCUUUUAUUAUCUUCAAUAAACUCACCAACAAAAUACUGGAAUUCAUUUGCCAUCUAUAAGCCUUGAUGAUCCAGUUCCGGUUCAAGGGGAGGUCUUUCAGUCACUGGAGGAAUGGGACCAGGCUUUUACAAAAUGAACAGCAUCUAUACAACUUUUAUCAAGAUGUAACAGGAUGAUCUCAGCAUUUUGACUGAUCAAGGUGAUCUUGUGGCUGAGAAGAGCUCUGACCACUGAAUACCUCUCUGCCCUCAGUGCCUGCUGCCCUACUGGCUCGCCAUCGGUAUGCCUGUAGCUCAAGGACAGCACCACAGCUUAUGCUUUCCUCGCCUAACCAGAGUAAGCAGCAGAGCAGGCUGCAGCAGUGGUGGCUCAUGCAGCGAGAUGGGUCCCCUGGCUCAGGCAGGCUGAGCGAGGUCCGUACUCUGCUGCGGGCAGAGCUCCUAUACCUGUCUCUAGAUUCACCAUUCUCCACUGCGCACGGCUCUUUUCUUCCGAUUUCCUAAGACCACUUUUGAAAAGCUUCUUCCUGUAAGUCUGCCUUUCCAGAGAUACUGCGGACUCUGCAGACUCCUCCUCUGCCACUGGUCUCCCUUUGGAGCCUCCGUGGGUCUCUCAGGGUCCUUGGAGCUGCUCCGUGGUCCCUUGGGUGCUGGCGGGCAACACCAUCUUGAAUCGAAUCAACAGGGGACCUCUUCAUACUUAGUUAUCUCUAGCUGGAAAAAAAGAUUAAGGUUUGUGUCCCUACACUCAUCUUUUAUAAUUGUACAAU
Molecule: long non-coding RNA, 1015 nt
Filed under: Cricetulus griseus (Chinese hamster)
Lineage: Eukaryota; Metazoa; Chordata; Mammalia; Rodentia; Cricetidae
Description: lncRNA (ENSCGRG00015030246.1)
Source: RNAcentral